CACGUAUGGGGCGAGCGUUGUUCGGAAUUAUUGGGCGUAAAGGGCAUGCAGGCGGUUUAAUAAGUCUGAUGUGUAAUCUCCUGGCUUAACUGGGAAGACGCGUUGGAAACUGUUAGACUUGAAUACAGGAGAGGGAGUCGGAAUUCUAGGUGUAGGGGUGAAAUCUGUAGAUAUCUAGAAGAACAUCAAUGGCGAAGGCAGACUCCUGGCCAUGUAUUGACGCUCAGAUGCGAAAGCGUGGGUAGCAAACAGG
RNAcentral lists this ribosomal RNA (253 nucleotides) under uncultured bacterium. Its description in RNAcentral is "partial 16S ribosomal RNA". It matches the Rfam family "Bacterial small subunit ribosomal RNA", at positions 524 to 776 of the family's 1533-position model. The record is from RNAcentral.